AAACGGAGUUAGGAUGGACCCCUGAGUUGAUCCGGGUCCGAAAGCCCGCAAGGGUAACCAGAUUGGGUCCCCCCGAGGUUUUUUCCCCCCCCCCGAACCCGCCCCAAGGUAAAAAAAAAUGGCCCCCCUUCGGGUUUUUUUCCCGCUGUGGCCCCGGACCGCAUGGAACAAAAAAGAAAGGCCCUUCGGCUUCUCCCCUGGAUGGGUUUGCGGGGCAUUAACUAAUUGGGGGGGUAACGGCCCCCCCUGGGGACCAUGCCUAGCCCACCCGGGAGGGUGAUCGGCCCCCCUGGGACUGAGACACCGCCCCCACUCCUUCCGGGGGGAGCAGUAGGGAAUCUUCCCCCAUGGGCGAAAGUCUGAUGGAGCCACCCCCCGUGAACGAUGAAAGCUUUCCGGUCCCAAAGUUCUGUUGUAAGGGAAAAACAAGUGCCCCCCGCUAUGGCGGCCCCUUGGCCGUACCUUUCGAGAAAGCCCCGGCUUACUUCGUGCCCGCCGCCCCGGUAAUACUUAUGUGGCAAGCCUUUUCCCGAAUUUUUGGGGGUAAAGCCCGCGCAGGCGGCCCCUUUAAUCUGAUGGGAAAGCCCCCCGCUCACCCGGGGGAGGGCCUUGUAAACUGGGGCGCUUUUGUUUAAGGAAAAAAAAGGGAAUUCCCCCCCGUGGCGGGGAAAUGCUCCAAGAAGGUGGGGGAACCCCCGUUGGGGCAGGGCACUCUCUUGGUCUUUUCCUGGCCCUUAAGCCGCCCCCAACCCCGGGGAGCCCAACCGGGUUUUUAUCCCCCGGGUAUCCCCCCCCCCUAAACCAAAAAAG
This 810-nucleotide ribosomal RNA is filed under the name Exiguobacterium sp. MK-1. Its description in RNAcentral is "partial 16S ribosomal RNA". It matches the Rfam family "Bacterial small subunit ribosomal RNA", at positions 96 to 815 of the family's 1533-position model. The record is from RNAcentral. Lineage: Bacteria; Bacillati; Bacillota; Bacilli; Caryophanales.